CCGGCCUCCGGAACUGUAGGAUGAUAGAUUGCUGUUGAUUUGGGCUGCUAAGUUUGUGGCAGCUUGUUACAGCAGCCACAGGAAACUCAUACAGACCUAAGGACGGACAGCAAGCACGAGGACGAUGAAAAACAUAGGAUGAAAGGGCUGACCCAGAAAGACAUUCCCCAAGCUGUCUUUCAGCUCUGUUGUUCUGUAGUUUUUAUCCUCCUACAAACCAGGAGCUGAGAGCACCAAGCCCUGUGUUUGAAGAAGCGUGCUUUCCAGAAGAAGACUACCGCAUGCGGUGCCCUCCUCUAGGCACCGAAGAUGCGGCAGGGAACAAAAACUCCAAACCCCUCCCCUCAUGGAGCUAAGAUUCUAAAAGGGGGAGACAACAGUAUAGAAACGGACAAACCAGCAAACAUGAGGAAGCCCCUGAAGGAUCUUGGGCAAGAGAGUGACGUGAUCAAUCAUAGCUUUUAGAAGAGGGGCGGCCUGGAGGAUGGGCUCUGCUGUGGAGAGGAGGGCAUGCUCCAUGUGCAGGAGGUGGUUGAAGCCACGAGAGUGAAUGAGACCACCCAGGAGGGGACAGGGUGUGAAGCGAAGAGGGAGCCUGAGGGGACAGCAGCCUGGAGAGGGUGAGGAAGAGGAGUGGUAAAGGAGGGGGGCUUCUCUGUGACCCCCAACCCUGGUGCACCUGGCCUCAGCCUGAUGUCCAUGCCCUCCCUCUCCCUUCCUCUCAGUGGGCUGCCUCAAUCUCCCCAAUUGCUGGAACCUGGAAGGCACCUCGCCCAGCCCCACCCCCUCCUCAGCAUCCAGCUUCAGCCUGGACACCCCCGGAGACCAGAAGGGGGAGCCCACU
This 844-nucleotide long non-coding RNA is filed under the name Equus asinus (donkey). RNAcentral's name for it is "lncRNA (ENSEASG00005033584.1)". Lineage: Eukaryota; Metazoa; Chordata; Mammalia; Perissodactyla; Equidae. The record is from RNAcentral.